GUAUGGAAACCUACUAAGUGAUAACUUUCAAAUUCAGGGAAACCCCGGAAUUCACAAAAAUGGGCAAUCCUGAGCCAAAUCCUGUUUUCUCAAAAGAAAGGUUCAGAAAACGAAAAAAAAAAGGAUAGGUCCAGAGACUCAAUGGAAGCUGUUCUAACAAAUGGGGGCACCGGUAGAGGAAUCUUUGCACCAAAACCAAACGUCAGAAAGGAUCAAAACCUAUCUAUUUUUUACUAUAUAAAAAUAAAAAAAAAUGAUUAAUAAUGGCCCGAAUCUCUAGAUGUUUUUUUUAUAUGAAAAAUAGAAGCAGGAUUGGUGUGAAUUCAUUCGACAUUCACGAAAAAAUAUAAUUUUUAUUCAUCAAAUCAUUCACUCCAUAGUCCGAUAACCUUUUAAAGAACUGAUCAAUCGGACAAGAAUAAAGAUAGAGUCCCUUUACAUGUCAAUACCGGCAACAAUGAAUUAUGUAGAGGAAAUCCGUGAUUUUAAUCUCGUGUGGUUCAAGUCCCUCUAUCCCCAACAAACUAUUUUACUCCCAAACUUAUCCUACCUCUCUUUUCGGUUACAAAUUUCUUUUAUGCUUCUUUGACAAACGUAGUUGGGCGUCAACGUAAAUGACUUUAUCUUCUCCCAUGUGAUAUAGAAUACACAUCCAAAUUGAGCAAAGAAUCCCGAUUCAAAUGAAUUCACAAUCAAUAGCUUUACGAAUACUGAAACUCAUAAAGUGGCUUUUUGGAGAUCAAAGAAAUUGAAGUACUUGUAGAAAAAUUUGUAAUCCACCCUUUCCCUUUAAUUGACAUAGACCCCGUUAUCGACUAAAAUAAUCAAAUGCGUAUGGAUUACUACGCUGGCAAUGUCGGGAUAGCUCAGCU
RNAcentral lists this unclassified non-coding RNA (872 nucleotides) under Utricularia adpressa. RNAcentral describes it as "partial contains tRNA-Leu (trnL) gene and trnL-trnF spacer region". The stretch from base 1 to 452 matches the Rfam family "Group I catalytic intron", at positions 27 to 253 of the family's 253-position model. From Rfam's summary of the family: Group I catalytic introns are large self-splicing ribozymes. Lineage: Eukaryota; Viridiplantae; Streptophyta; Magnoliopsida; Lamiales; Lentibulariaceae. The record is from RNAcentral.